AGAGUUGAUCCUGGCUCAGGAUGAACGCUGACAGAAUGCUUAACACAUGCAAGUCGACUCGAGUCUUCGGACUUGGGUGGCGCACGGGUGAGUAACGCGUAAAGAACUUGCCUCUUAGACCGGGACAACAUCUGGAAACGGAUGCUAAUACCGGAUAUUAUGGUUUUUUCGCAUGGAGGAAUCAUGAAAGCUAGAUGCGCUAAGAGAGAGCUUUGCGUCCCAUUAGCUGGUUGGUGAGGUAACGGCCCACCAAGGCAAUGAUGGGUAGCCGGCCUGAGAGGGUGAACGGCCACAAGGGGACUGAGACACGGCCCUUACUCCUACGGGAGGCAGCAGUGGGGAAUAUUGGACAAUGGACCACAAGUCUGAUCCAGCAAUUCUGUGUGCACGAUGACGUUUUUCGGAAUGUAAAGUGCUUUCAGUCGGGAAGAAGUCAGUGACGGUACCGACAGAAGAAGCGACGGCUAAAUACGUGCCAGCAGCCGCGGUAAUACGUAUGUCGCAAGCGUUAUCCGGAUUUAUUGGGCGUAAAGCGCGUCUAGGCGGCAAGGAAAGUCUGAUGUGAAAAUGCGGAGCUCAACUCCGUAUGGCGUUGGAAACUGCCUUACUAGAGUACUGGAGAGGUAGGCGGAACUACAAGUGUAGAGGUGAAAUUCGUAGAUAUUUGUAGGAAUGCCGAUGGGGAAGCCAGCCUACUGGACAGAUACUGACGCUAAAGCGCGAAAGCGUGGGUAGCAAACAGGAUUAGAUACCCUGGUAGUCCACGCUGUAAACGAUGAUUACUAGGUGUUGGGGGUCAAACCUCAGCGCCCAAGCUAACGCGAUAAGUAAUCCGCCUGGGGAGUACGUACGCAAGUAUGAAACUCAAAGGAAUUGACGG
This 880-nucleotide ribosomal RNA is filed under the name uncultured bacterium. RNAcentral's name for it is "bacterial SSU rRNA". It matches the Rfam family "Bacterial small subunit ribosomal RNA", at positions 8 to 916 of the family's 1533-position model. The record is from RNAcentral.